Molecule: ribosomal RNA, 547 nt
Filed under: uncultured bacterium
Lineage: Bacteria
Description: bacterial SSU rRNA
Rfam family: Bacterial small subunit ribosomal RNA
Source: RNAcentral
GGAAUAUUGGGCAAUGGAGGAAACUCUGACCCAGCGACGCCGCGUGCGGGAUGAAGGCCUUCGGGUUGUAAACCGCUUUCAGCAAGGAAGAAGCGAAAGUGACGGUACUUGCAGAAGAAGCACCGGCUAACUAUGUGCCAGCAGCCGCGGUAAUACAUAGGGUGCAAGCGUUGUCCGGAAUUAUUGGGCGUAAAGAGCUCGUAGGUGGUUCGUCACGUCGGAUGUGAAAAUCUGGGGCUUAACCCCAGACCUGCAUUCGAUACGGGCGAGCUAGAGUGUGGUAGGGGAGACUGGAAUUCCUGGUGUAGCGGUGGAAUGCGCAGAUAUCAGGAGGAACACCAAUGGCGAAGGCAGGUCUCUGGGCCAUUACUGACACUGAGGAGCGAAAGCGUGGGGAGCGAACAGGAUUAGAUACCCUGGUAGUCCACGCCGUAAACGGUGGGCACUAGUUGUGGGAACCUUCCACGGUUUCUGCGACGCAGCUAACGCAUUAAGUGCCCCGCCUGGGGAGUACGAUCGCAAGAUUAAAACUCAAAUGAAUUGACGG